UGAAAGUUUUAGAUAAAAGGCGCUGUAUGAGACAGAGAGAUAGAGACAUCGUCCCGACGGGGGCUCCAUGGGGGGCGGCCCUGGGCCCUUUGCGAUCUCCGGACUUUCGGACUUAGAGAAAUUAGAGCAUCCGAUUCUCCGGACUUUUGGACUUAGAAAAAUUAGGACAUCCUCUCUCCAACACGCUACAGAGAUGCGUGUCGUAGCCCAUCGGGGCAAAGAAGACUACUGGCUGUGGGACCAUUUGAUGAGAAUAUCCUGGCUGUGGGACCAUUUGAUGAGAAUAUCCUGGCUGUGGGACCAUUUGAUGAGACCGACCCUCCGUGCCCGAGGAGAGAUAGAGCUACCGUCGACACCGGGGAAGCGUAGUGUAGAGAGGAGAGAUAGGGAUUCCCUCUCUUUUCCUCUGUCAACACCGGCGUGGAACGCCAGCGCUGCUCACUUCUCGACGAUACGGAGCGGCCCGUAUCAGAUAGGGGCCAUCAACAUUCAACAACAUUCCAGCGCAGCUCGCCCUCCCCAAUCUGAAUCAGUGCGGGGGCCGACGGCAGGGGAACAACGGCCUUUCUCUUCACACAGCUGAGGGGAGUGUUGGACGUAGUGUAGAGAGGUAAGAAUCAGGAAUCUAAAUUAUUAUAGACUUAAUCAGCUUUAUAAACAAACCCAAUUGAUUAGGCACUAUAUUAUAGGAGAGAUAGGGAUUCCCUCUCUUUUCCUCUGUCAACACCGGCGUGGAACGCCAGCGCUGCUCACUUCUCGACGAUACGGAGCGGCCCGUAUCAGAUAGGGGCCAUCAACAUUCAACAACAUUCCAGCGCAGCUCACCCUCCCCAAUCUGAAUCAGUGCGGGGGCCGACGGCAGGGGAACAACGGCCUUUCUCUUCACACAGCUGAGGGGAGUGUUGGAUGUAGUGUAGAGAGGUGAGAAAACCGGAAUCGAAAUUAUCGUAGACAAACCCACCAAGAUGUGUUCCAGAUGUAUUUUAUGUCACUUAUUUAGAAGUGUCACUGACGGCAUUUUAUUAGUCACUAUAUUAUAUGUAUUAACAUGUUUUUUUUGAAGGCCUUCACCGCUUGCUGCAAUGUCCCAGAUAUUAAUCCUGCAAAUAAAACUAUAUUCAAACCA
This is a long non-coding RNA of Gadus morhua (Atlantic cod), 1126 nucleotides long. RefSeq lists it as uncharacterized. NCBI's taxonomy places the organism in Eukaryota, Metazoa, Chordata, Actinopteri, Gadiformes, Gadidae. The record is from RefSeq and is a predicted model, not a curated record. The transcript is spliced from 2 exons.